This 429-nucleotide long non-coding RNA is filed under the name Homo sapiens (human). RNAcentral's name for it is "non-protein coding lnc-SLC38A9-3:4". Lineage: Eukaryota; Metazoa; Chordata; Mammalia; Primates; Hominidae. The record is from RNAcentral.
AUAAAUUUGGGGUAAGGGGAAUGCUAUUUAACCCAGUACACUUCGUGUCAAGAUUUUACUAGCCUUACUAUUUUAUUCAUCACAUUAAUGACACAGACACUAUACUGAGUACCAAUAAUAGCAACCCUGUGAUUUGUCCAAGUGCCGGGAGUGGAGGCCAUCCUGACAACAGCUCUAUGAUUUUCUAUGCCAAUGACACAGGAGCCCAACAGUUUGAAAAGUGGUGGGAUAAGUCCAGGACAGUCCCCUUUUAUCUUGUAGGGCUCCUCCUCCCACUGCUCAAUUUCAAGUCUCCUUCAUUUUUUUCAAAAUUUAAUAUCCUAGGCACAGUGUCUGUCCUUUAUUUGAUUUUCCUUGUCACCUUUAAGGCUGUUCGCUUGGGAUUUCAUUUGGAAUUUCAUUGGUUUAUACCAACAGAAUUUUUUGUAC